AAUCAACGCUGGCGGCGUGCCUAACACAUGCAAGUCGAACGCGAAAGCCCCGCAAGGGGUAAGUAGAGUGGCAAACGGGUGAGUAACACGUGGGUGACCUGCCUUCGAGUGGGGGAUAACGUCCCGAAAGGGACGCUAAUACCGCAUGACAUCCUGCUUUUGAAAAAGCGGAGAUCAAAGCUGGGGAUCGCAAGACCUAGCGCUUGAAGAGGGGCCCGCGCCUGAUUAGCUAGUUGGUGAGGUAACGGCUCACCAAGGCGACGAUCAGUAUCCGGCCUGAGAGGGCGGACGGACACACUGGGACUGAGACACGGCCCAGACUCCUACGGGAGGCAGCAGUGGGGAAUUGUUCGCAAUGGGCGCAAGCCUGACGGCGCAACGCCGCGUGGAGGACGAAGAGCUUCGGGUCGUAAACUCCUGUCGAGCGGGACGAACGCUUCGCGGAUGAAUAAUCCGCGGAAUUGACGGUACCGCUAAAGGAAGCCCCGGCUAACUCCGUG
RNAcentral lists this ribosomal RNA (500 nucleotides) under uncultured bacterium. RNAcentral's name for it is "partial 16S ribosomal RNA". It matches the Rfam family "Bacterial small subunit ribosomal RNA", at positions 29 to 507 of the family's 1533-position model. The record is from RNAcentral.